Molecule: ribosomal RNA, 756 nt
Filed under: uncultured bacterium
Lineage: Bacteria
Description: bacterial SSU rRNA
Rfam family: Bacterial small subunit ribosomal RNA
Source: RNAcentral
ACGCUGGCGGCAGGCCUAACACAUGCAAGUCGAGCGGUAGAGAGAAGCUUGCUUCUCUUGAGAGCGGCGGACGGGUGAGUAAUGCCUAGGAAUCUGCCUGGUAGUGGGGGAUAACGUUCGGAAACGGACGCUAAUACCGCAUACGUCCUACGGGAGAAAGCAGGGGACCUUCGGGCCUUGCGCUAUCAGAUGAGCCUAGGUCGGAUUAGCUAGUUGGUGAGGUAAUGGCUCACCAAGGCGACGAUCCGUAACUGGUCUGAGAGGAUGAUCAGUCACACUGGAACUGAGACACGGUCCAGACUCCUACGGGAGGCAGCAGUGGGGAAUAUUGGACAAUGGGCGAAAGCCUGAUCCAGCCAUGCCGCGUGUGUGAAGAAGGUCUUCGGAUUGUAAAGCACUUUAAGUUGGGAGGAAGGGCAGUUACCUAAUACGUGAUUGCUUUGACGUUACCGACAGAAUAAGCACCGGCUAACUCUGUGCCAGCAGCCGCGGUAAUACAGAGGGUGCAAGCGUUAAUCGGAAUUACUGGGCGUAAAGCGCGCGUAGGUGGUUUGUUAAGUUGGAUGUGAAAUCCCCGGGCUCAACCUGGGAACUGCAUUCAAAACUGACUGACUAGAGUAUGGUAGAGGGUGGUGGAAUUUCCUGUGUAGCGGUGAAAUGCGUAGAUAUAGGAAGGAACACCAGUGGCGAAGGCGACCACCUGGACUGAUACUGACACUGAGGUGCGAAAGCGUGGGGAGCAAACAGGAUUAGAUA